This 764-nucleotide ribosomal RNA is filed under the name uncultured bacterium. Its description in RNAcentral is "bacterial SSU rRNA". It matches the Rfam family "Bacterial small subunit ribosomal RNA", at positions 60 to 818 of the family's 1533-position model. The record is from RNAcentral.
AGUCGAGCGGAGAUGAGGUGCUUGCACCUUAUCUUAGCGGCGGACGGGUGAGUAAUGCUUAGGAAUCUGCCUAUUAGUGGGGGACAACAUUCCGAAAGGAAUGCUAAUACCGCAUACGUCCUACGGGAGAAAGCAGGGGAUCUUCGGACCUUGCGCUAAUAGAUGAGCCUAAGUCGGAUUAGCUAGUUGGUGGGGUAAAGGCCUACCAAGGCGACGAUCUGUAGCGGGUCUGAGAGGAUGAUCCGCCACACUGGGACUGAGACACGGCCCAGACUCCUACGGGAGGCAGCAGUGGGGAAUGUUGGACAAUGGGGGGAACCCUGAUCCAGCCAUGCCGCGUGUGUGAAGAAGGCCUUAUGGUUGUAAAGCACUUUAAGCGAGGAGGAGGCUACUGAGACUAAUACUCUUGGAUAGUGGACGUUACUCGCAGAAUAAGCACCGGCUAACUCUGUGCCAGCAGCCGCGGUAAUACAGAGGGUGCGAGCGUUAAUCGGAUUUACUGGGCGUAAAGCGUGCGUAGGCGGCUUUUUAAGUCGGAUGUGAAAUCCCCGAGCUUAACUUGGGAAUUGCAUUCGAUACUGGGAAGCUAGAGUAUGGGAGAGGAUGGUAGAAUUCCAGGUGUAGCGGUGAAAUGCGUAGAGAUCUGGAGGAAUACCGAUGGCGAAGGCAGCCAUCUGGCCUAAUACUGACGCUGAGGUACGAAAGCAUGGGGAGCAAACAGGAUUAGAUACCCUGGUAGUCCAUGCCGUAAACGAUGUCUACUA